RNAcentral lists this ribosomal RNA (429 nucleotides) under Actinomycetes bacterium. RNAcentral's name for it is "Actinobacteria bacterium partial 16S ribosomal RNA". It matches the Rfam family "Bacterial small subunit ribosomal RNA", at positions 355 to 776 of the family's 1533-position model. The record is from RNAcentral. Lineage: Bacteria; Bacillati; Actinomycetota; Actinomycetes.
UAGGGAAUCUUCCGCAAUGGGCGAAAGCCUGACGGAGCAACGCCGCGUGAGUGAUGAAGGUCUUCGGAUCGUAAAACUCUGUUAUUAGGGAAGAACACAUGUGUAAGUAACUAUGCACGUCUUGACGGUACCUAAUCAGAAAGCCACGGAUAACUACGUGCCAGCAGCCGCGGUAAUACGUAGGUGGCAAACGUUAUCCGGAAUUAUUGGGCGUAAAGUGCGCGUAGGCGGUUUUUUAUGUCUGAUGUGAAAGCCCACGGCUCAACCGUGGAGAGUCAUUGGAAACUGGGAAACUUGAGUGCAGAAGAGGAAAGUGGAAUUCCAUGUGUAGCAGUGAAAUGCGCAGAGAUAUGGAGGAACACCAGUGGCGAAAGCGACUUUCUGGUCUGUAACUGACGCUGAUGUGCGUAAGCGUGGGGAUCAAACAGG